RNAcentral lists this ribosomal RNA (499 nucleotides) under uncultured bacterium. RNAcentral describes it as "partial 16S ribosomal RNA". It matches the Rfam family "Bacterial small subunit ribosomal RNA", at positions 28 to 523 of the family's 1533-position model. The record is from RNAcentral.
GUUGAACGCUGGCGGCGUGCUUUACACAUGCAAGUCGAACGGCAGCACGGGAGCAAUCCUGGUGGCGAGUGGCAAACGGGUGAGUAAUACUUCGGAACGUACCUUUUAGUGGGGGAUAACUACUCGAAAGAGUGGCUAAUACCGCAUAUAUCUAUGGAUGAAAGCGGGGUAGCGUAAGACCGCGCGCUAAUUGAGCGGCCGAAGCAAGAUUAGGUAGUUGGUAGGGUAAAGGCCUACCAAGCCUGCGAUCUUUAGCUGGUCUGAGAGGACGAUCAGCCACACUGGGACUAAGACACGGCCCAGACUCCUACGGGAGGCAGCAGUGGGGAAUUUUGGACAAUGGGGGCAACCCUGAUCCAGCAACGCCGCGUGAGUGAAGAAGGCCUUCGGGUUGUAAAGCUCUUUUGUUAGGGAAGAAAUCUUCUAGGCUAAUACCCUGGGAGGAUGACGGUACCUAAAGAAUAAGCACCGGCUAACUACGUGCCAGCAGCCGCGGUAA